GCGAUUGGAUGGAGCGUGCUUACCAUGCAGUCGACGAGCAAGAGCUGUAGUAAUACAGAAUUCUGCUAGUGGCAGACGGGUGAGUAAUACAUGGGAAUCUACCUUGCAGCGCGAAAUAACAGUUGGAAGCAAUUGCUAAUGUCGCAUAUGGCCGAGAGGUGAAAGAUUUAUUCGCUACAAGAUGAGCCCAUGCAGGAUUAGCUAGUUGGUGAGGUAAUGGCUCACCAAGGCAACGAUCUUUAGUUGGUCUGAGAGGAUGAUCAGCCACACUGGAACUGAGAUACGGUCCAGACUCCUACGGGAGGCAGCAGUGGGGAAUAUUGGACAAUGGGCGCAAGCCUGAUCCAGCGACGCCGCGUGAGUGAUGAAGGCCUUAGGGUUGUAAAGCUCUUUUAGUGGGGAAGAUAAUGACGGUACCCACAGAAAAAGCCCCGGCUAACUUCGUGCCAGCAGCCGCGGUAAUACGAAGGGGGCUAGCGUUACUCGGAAUUAUUGGGCGUAAAGCGUGCGUAGGCUGCUUAGUAAGUCAAAAGUGAAAGCCUUGGGCUUAACCUAAGAAUUGCUUUUGAAACUGCUAGGCUUGAGUACUGUAGGGGAUAGCGGAAUUCCUAGUGUAGGGGUGAAAUUCGUAGAUAUUAGGAGGAACACCGGAGGCGAAAGCGGUUAUCUGGGCAGUUACUGACGCUGUUGCACGAAAGCGUGGGGAGCAAACAGGAUUAGAUACCCUGGUAGUCCACGCAGUAAACGAUGAGUGCUAGAUGUUGGGAUUCGUUUCUCAGUGUCGCAGCUAACGCAUUAAGCACUCCGCCUGGGUGAGUACGGUCGCAAGAUUAAAACUCAAAGGAAUUGACGGGGGACCCGCACAAGCGGUGGAACAUGUGGUUUAAUUCGAUGCUACACGAAAAACCUUACCAGGCCUUGACAUGAUGGUCAUAUGAAGUGUGAAAGCAGUUUAAUCGGUUCGGCCGGACCAUCACAGGUGUUGCAUGGGCUGUCGUCAACUCGUGUCGUGAGAUGUUGGGUUAAGUCCCGCAACGAGGGGCAACCCUUAUCCUUUAGUUGGCCAGCGAGUAUGGUCGGGAAAC
This 1085-nucleotide ribosomal RNA is filed under the name uncultured bacterium. Its description in RNAcentral is "bacterial SSU rRNA". It matches the Rfam family "Bacterial small subunit ribosomal RNA", at positions 29 to 1139 of the family's 1533-position model. The record is from RNAcentral.